CAGUCGCCGCGGGAAUACGUAGGGCGCAAGCGUUAAUCGGAAUUACUGGGCGUAAAGCGUGCGCAGGCGGUUCGGAAAGAAAGAUGUGAAAUCCCAGGGCUCAACCUUGGAACUGCAUUUUUAACUACCGGACUAGAGUAUGUCAGAGGGAGGUGGAAUUCCACGUGUAGCAGUGAAAUGCGUAGAUAUGUGGAGGAACACCGAUGGCGAAGGCAGCCUCCUGGGAUAAUACUGACGCUCAUGCACGAAAGCGUGGGGAGCAAACAGGAUUAGAUACCCCUGUAGUCCCUGUCUCUUAUAC
This 301-nucleotide ribosomal RNA is filed under the name uncultured bacterium. RNAcentral's name for it is "partial 16S ribosomal RNA". It matches the Rfam family "Bacterial small subunit ribosomal RNA", at positions 509 to 807 of the family's 1533-position model. The record is from RNAcentral.